RNAcentral lists this ribosomal RNA (236 nucleotides) under uncultured bacterium. Its description in RNAcentral is "partial 16S ribosomal RNA". It matches the Rfam family "Bacterial small subunit ribosomal RNA", at positions 334 to 567 of the family's 1533-position model. The record is from RNAcentral.
UUUUCCUACGGGGGGCAGCAGUGAGGAAUAUUGGUCAAUGGUCGGGCGACUGAACCAGCCAAGCCGCGUGAGGGAGGAAGGUACAGAGUAUCGUAAACCUCUUUUGUCAGGGAACAAAGGCGGGGACGUGUCCCCGGAUGAGUGUACCUGAAGAAAAAGCAUCGGCUACCUCCGUGCCAGCAGCCGCGGUAAUACGGAGGAUGCGGGCGUUAUCCGGAUUUAUUGGGUUUAAAGGG